Molecule: long non-coding RNA, 418 nt
Organism: Lagopus leucura (white-tailed ptarmigan)
Lineage: Eukaryota; Metazoa; Chordata; Aves; Galliformes; Phasianidae
Exons: 4
Source: RefSeq, a predicted model, not a curated record
UAAACUGAGGGAGUGGAGAGUGGUGCAGGAAGGUCUUUGAGGCUCUUUGUUUGCCUGUGCUUCAGCAGCCGCAGAAAACGCAAAGGUCGGUGCUCGUGGUGCUGGUCUUCAAUAGAGGGUGAGAACUGAUCUCCAACAGUUACAAAGCAUUUUAAGAUUGAAGAGUGACUUGUGUGAAAGAUGGUCGAUCCUGUGAAAUUAUGUGAGUCUUCUAGCUCUCAGCUUAACUGGCCACAGCCUGAAGAACCAUUCCAUAACGAGGAAGAAGAAAGCAAAGAAUCAAAGAUCAAAUACUAUCUUCUAACAGUUGUUACAGAAGACAACCUUAAGGAGCUAGGGAUUACCAAGCAAGAUUGUCAAGACUUUUCAAGGAACAGACGUGAUGGUUUGGCUGAUAGACUUGAGAAGGAAGGGGAAA